AGAGUUUGAUCAUGGCUCAGGACGAACGCUGGCGGCGGGCUUAACACAUGCAAGUCGUACGCGGCCUUCGGGCCGAGUGGCGCACGGGUGCGUAACGCGUAGGCAACCUGCCCUAGAGUGGGGAAUAACUCCGGGAAACCGGGGCUAAUACCGCAUAUUGAGCAGAGGCGGCAUCGCCUUUGCUUGAAAGCCUUCGGGCGCUCUAGGAUGGGCCUGCGUUGGAUUAGCUAGUUGGUGUGGUAACGGCGCACCAAGGCUGUGAUCCAUAGCUGGUCUGAGAGGAUGAUCAGCCACACUGGCACUGAGACACGGGCCAGACUCCUACGGGAGGCAGCAGUGAGGAAUCUUGCGCAAUGGGGGAAACCCUGACGCAGCCACGCCGCGUGGGAGGAUGACACCCCUAUGGGGCGUAAACUCCUUUUCUGCGGGAAGAACGCCGGCCUCGGGCCGGGAUGACGGUACCGCAGGAAUAAGCACCGGCUAACUCCGUGCCAGCAGCCGCGGUAAUACGGAGGGUGCAAGCGUUGUCCGGAAUUAUUGGGUGUAAAGGGUGUGUAGGCGGGAUCGUAAGUCAGGGGUGAAAGGUCACAGCUUAACUGUGACAUUGCCUUUGAUACUGCGGUCCUUGAGUGUCGGAGGGGCCACUAGAAUUCGUGGUGUAGCGGUGAAAUGCGUAGAUAUCACGAGGAAUACCAGAGGCGUAGGCGGGUGGCUGGACGACAACUGACGCUGAGGCACGAAAGCGUGGGGAGCGAACAGGAUUAGAUACC
This 770-nucleotide ribosomal RNA is filed under the name uncultured bacterium. RNAcentral's name for it is "bacterial SSU rRNA". It matches the Rfam family "Bacterial small subunit ribosomal RNA", at positions 8 to 786 of the family's 1533-position model. The record is from RNAcentral.